GAUGAACGCUAGCGGCAGGCUUAACACAUGCAAGUCGAGGGGUAACAUUGUGCUUGCACAGAUGACGACCGGCGAACGGGUGCGUAACGCGUAUAGAAUCUGCCUUGUACAGGAGGAUAGCCUUUAGAAAUGAAGAUUAAUACUCCAUAAUGUAUAUAAGAGGCAUCUCUUAUAUAUUAAACAUUUAUGGGUACAAGAUGACUAUGCGUCCUAUUAGCUAGAUGGUAAGGUAACGGCUUACCAUGGCAACGAUAGGUAGGGGGUCUGAGAGGAUUAUCCCCCACACUGGUACUGAGACACGGACCAG
This 307-nucleotide ribosomal RNA is filed under the name uncultured Tenacibaculum sp. RNAcentral describes it as "bacterial SSU rRNA". It matches the Rfam family "Bacterial small subunit ribosomal RNA", at positions 28 to 334 of the family's 1533-position model. The record is from RNAcentral. Lineage: Bacteria; Pseudomonadati; Bacteroidota; Flavobacteriia; Flavobacteriales; Flavobacteriaceae.